RNAcentral lists this long non-coding RNA (212 nucleotides) under Geospiza fortis (medium ground-finch). Its description in RNAcentral is "lncRNA (ENSGFOG00000005449.1)". Lineage: Eukaryota; Metazoa; Chordata; Aves; Passeriformes; Thraupidae. The record is from RNAcentral.
CCGGGCUCCGCUGGAAGGCUGAGCUGAGCGAUGUCUCUCACUAACCACAUCCAGAUGUGCCUGCUUGGCAGCUCGCUGCACAGACGGCACCGAGGGGACGCAGGAUCAGCGCUAUCAAAUGGGCUUUGAAGAACUGAUCAAAUAAGACAGAAGAUCUCCGGGAAAAGUAUGGGCAGUGGUGCCAGGCAGCUCAAACACAGCUUUUAGCAGUC